AUCCAGACUCCUACGGGAGGCAGCAGUGGGGAAUAUUGCACAAUGGGGGAAACCCUGAUGCAGCAACGCCGUGUGAGUGAAGAAGUAUUUCGGUAUGUAAAGCUCUAUCAGCAGGGAAGAAAAUGACGGUACCUGAGGAAUAAGCUCCGGCUAACUACGUGCCAGCAGCCGCGGUAAUACGUAGGGAGCGAGCGUUAUCCGGAAUUAUUGGGCGUAAAGGGUGCGUAGAUGGCAUAGUAAGUCUUUUGUAAAAAUGCUGGGCUCAACCCAGUAGGGCAAAAGAUACUGCAAAGCUAGAGUAUGACAGAGGCAAGUGGAACUACAUGUGUAGCGGUAAAAUGCGUAAAUAUAUGUAAGAACACCAGUGGCGAAGGCGGCUUGCUGGGUCGAUACUGACAUUG
Molecule: ribosomal RNA, 401 nt
Filed under: uncultured bacterium
Lineage: Bacteria
Description: bacterial SSU rRNA
Rfam family: Bacterial small subunit ribosomal RNA
Source: RNAcentral